CCUAUUCCCACAACCCACCUCUGCCUCCUCCUUACUCAGUCCCAAACUCCUUCCCCACGCCCUGCCUCUGCCCCUCUCUCUAGUCACCUCUCCCAACCCCUCCUCUGCCCACUCCCUACCUAUUCCCAAACUCUCAAGACCCACAAAACUUCAACCUUCACCUCCUUCUUCCAUGGCCCAGUAUGCUCAAAGUAGAGCUGGGGAAACAUUGACAUUUUGGGAUGAAAAAGGACAAUUUCUUCACAAUUUAAAAAAUAUAAUUCCCAUUUUAUGACCAAUUCAAAAGGCCCCGUUUCACAAGACUCCCAAACUCUAACUCUGCCCCCACCUCAAUAUCCCUCCUGACAAAUCCAUUGCCAGUGCUCACCUCCAUAAUUCUCCCCCCAGGGCAGAUUCUUCUCCCUUCUUAGCCCUUUCUUGCUUCUCUCCCCUCAGUAAUUCAGCUCCACAAGGGAGUUCUUCUCACCUCUCAAGCUGAUUGAAGUCAUGGGCCAUCAGAAACUAAUCAGAAUGAAUGGAGAUGUUAAAUGUCAGAGAAACACUUCAUCAGGGGGUACAGGUUUGGGAGAUCUCUCUACUCCCAAAAACUGCUUGUCGAAACUACAGGUAGCUGAAGCAGGUCCUGGAGUUAUUCAUGGAGGAAGUCCCAAGAACACAAAAUUGGAGAAGGAGAGGAGUAUAACAAGAACAGACCAUUUCUCCCUCCCAAUAACUAGGAAUCCCUGAGGGACAGAAAGUAGCAAAACCCAAUCCUCCAUCCCUGUAGCAGGCAAGGAAACCCUGGAUGUAGGAGAGAAGGCAGAAAACUCCUUCUCCCUUCCAGCACAGAGAGGGAGGAACCUCCCCCCAUGAAAGCCUCAUUUAAAGACACAGCUUGUAGCUGAUUGGAGGAUGCUUGACUAAAGGUCAUCAUGGGAAAUGUAGUCCUAAACUGGAAGCUAAAGCUUGAGAUGGUGGUAUAAGGAAACAGACAUCCAUAAACCGAGAUGACAAUGUUUUAUGAAGGUCCAAUGACAUCCGGUUUUCUCACAGGAAACCUGGUCUGUGGCUGUCCAUUGUUAGUGAGAGUCACACUCAUGACCCAGAGCCAAGCUGCAAAGGGAGCAUUACCGCUGUGAACUUGACGAGGAAUUGGAGGUGUUUGCCUGACAAUAGUAAGUGUUGAAAUGUUAAACGUUAUUCUUUGUGAAUAAAAUCCUGAUGUGGCCAACAAGUCUUGAUGUGGGAGCAGUCAUUCCCUGGUGCGCUCUUGGUUACAGGAAUCCAGCUGACCUGCGGUCUGAUCCUGUAAACAUUUUUGCAUAUAUUAACUAAUCCAGUUUGCUGGAUUAGGGACUAGGUCAGGAUUUCACAGCCCAGCCCAGGACAAUGUGCUGCUCCCCUGAACAAGAGGCAAUGUGCAUCCCCAUCUGCUGGCUACUGUUUGCUGCUGGUGGCAGAAUGAUCCCAGUCCAACACCCACUGGGCUAAACCUUGUUACGAGUUGAGCUAAAACCUCAUUGAAAGUGAUGCUUGAUUGCACCCUUCACUUAAGAUUUCAGUAAGAGAGAGUGAAAGGGCCCUUCCUAAAGCAAGACAUAAGGGAGUCUGAUGAGAAACUACCAUGUGGAUGGUGUGUUCCACUGGGUAUUGUUCUGACUCUGGGUGGGUGUGUAUAUAAAAAGUCUAGUGGGGAUAGGAAAGGGAGCAGACUAGAAACAGAGACUCAAAAGCAGUAAGAAAGCAGCAGCCUGUAAGCACAGCGUGACCCUGGCAGGAGCCUAGAGGAAGAUCCUGAGUCAGGGGUUCUCGGGGAAAGAAGCUUGGGCUGAAGGCAAAGAAGCUAUCCCCUGGUUUUGGUUCCUCCUGCAUUCAGAGAAGUGAGACUUUGUACUUUCCUUUUGCAUGAAAGAAAAUACCAGACCCCAUAAUCAAUUUCUACUCCCAACUGGAACAUCCCCAAGACCUUGAAUUUUGAUUAGCCACUCAGGUCAAAAGGGUGUGUGUGUGUGUGGGGGGGCAGAUUCAAGGGCUCACUGCUCCGUAACGUGACCAUAUAAAGGGGCCAUAACAGCCUUCAGGGGAACUUCUCUAGUGCACGAACAGUAUCGGCCCAGAUAACACAUCACAGAUUAGCAGCAGGUAACUUACAUUGGGGGAAUGACCUCUGGAGCAGUCCAGAAUCCAGGAAGCAUAAAGCAGAACUCAACCCUCAACAAAAGACAGAAGCCUCUCUCCAAUACAGACCUAACCCACAGACGCAUGCAACCUGGAAUCUUAACAUUUCUCUCGUUGUAAAGGACACUAUUUCAAGCACAAUGAAAACUGAGUGGUUUUCAUUAUGGGA
Mauremys mutica (yellowpond turtle) is the source of this 2326-nucleotide long non-coding RNA. RefSeq lists it as uncharacterized. The record is from RefSeq and is a predicted model, not a curated record. The transcript has 4 exons. NCBI's taxonomy places the organism in Eukaryota, Metazoa, Chordata, Testudines, Geoemydidae.